This 721-nucleotide ribosomal RNA is filed under the name uncultured Nitrososphaerota archaeon. RNAcentral describes it as "bacterial SSU rRNA". It matches the Rfam family "Archaeal small subunit ribosomal RNA", at positions 8 to 737 of the family's 1478-position model. The record is from RNAcentral. Lineage: Archaea; Thermoproteati; Nitrososphaerota.
UUGAUCCUGCCGGACCCGACUGCUAUCAGAGUGGGACUAAGCCAUGCGAGUCAACGCAGCAAUGCGUGGCACACGGCUCAGUAACACGUAGUCAACAUGCCCAGGGGACGUGGAUAACCUCGGGAAACUGAGGAUAAACCGCGAUAGGCCAAGGUUUCUGGAAUGGACACUGGCUCAAACCUAUAUGGCCCCUGGAUUGGACUGCGGCCGAUCAGGCUGUUGGUGAGGUAAUGGCCCACCAAACCUGUAACCGGUACGGGCUUUGAGAGAAGGAGCCCGGAGAUGGGCACUGAGACAAGGGCCCAGGCCCUAUGGGGCGCAGCAGGCGCGAAAAUUCUGCAAUAGGCGAAAGCUUGACAGAGUUACUCUGAGUGAUGCCCGCUAAGGGCAUCUUUUGGCACCUCUAAAAAUGGUGCAGAAUAAGGGGUGGGCAAGUCUGGUGUCAGCCGCCGCGGUAAUACCAGCACCCCGAGUGGUCGGGACGAUUAUUGGGCCUAAAGCAUCCGUAGCUUGUUCUGCAAGUCUUCCGUUAAAUCCACCUGCUCAACAGAUGGGCUGCGGGAGAUACUACAGGGCUAGGAGGCGGGAGAGGCAAGCGGUACUCAGUGGGUAGGGGUAAAAUCCUCUGAUCCACUGAAGACCACCAGUGGCGAAGGCGGCUUGCCAGAACGCGCUCGACGGUGAGGGAUGAAAGCUGGGGGAGCAAACCGGAUUAGAUACC